RNAcentral lists this ribosomal RNA (2825 nucleotides) under Klebsiella pneumoniae. RNAcentral describes it as "bacterial LSU rRNA". It matches the Rfam family "Bacterial large subunit ribosomal RNA". Lineage: Bacteria; Pseudomonadati; Pseudomonadota; Gammaproteobacteria; Enterobacterales; Enterobacteriaceae. The record is from RNAcentral.
GGGUUGUGAGGUUAAGCGACUAAGCGUACACGGUGGAUGCCCUGGCAGUCAGAGGCGAUGAAGGACGUGCUAAUCUGCGAAAAGCGUCGGUAAGGUGAUAUGAACCGUUAUAACCGGCGAUGUCCGAAUGGGGAAACCCAGUGCAAUUCGUUGCACUAUCGUUAACUGAAUACAUAGGUUAACGAGGCGAACCGGGGGAACUGAAACAUCUAAGUACCCCGAGGAAAAGAAAUCAACCGAGAUUCCCCCAGUAGCGGCGAGCGAACGGGGAGCAGCCCAGAGUCUGAAUCAGCUUGUGUGUUAGUGGAACGGUCUGGAAAGUCCGACGGUACAGGGUGAUAGUCCCGUACACCAAAAUGCACAGGUUGUGAACUCGAAGAGUAGGGCGGGACACGUGGUAUCCUGUCUGAAUAUGGGGGGACCAUCCUCCAAGGCUAAAUACUCCUGACUGACCGAUAGUGAACCAGUACCGUGAGGGAAAGGCGAAAAGAACCCCGGCGAGGGGAGUGAAAAAGAACCUGAAACCGUGUACGUACAAGCAGUGGGAGCACCUUCGGGUGUGACUGCGUACCUUUUGUAUAAUGGGUCAGCGACUUAUAUUCUGUAGCAAGGUUAACCGUAUAGGGGAGCCGCAGGGAAACCGAGUCUUAACUGGGCGUUAAGUUGCAGGGUAUAGACCCGAAACCCGGUGAUCUAGCCAUGGGCAGGUUGAAGGUUGGGUAACACUAACUGGAGGACCGAACCGACUAAUGUUGAAAAAUUAGCGGAUGACUUGUGGCUGGGGGUGAAAGGCCAAUCAAACCGGGAGAUAGCUGGUUCUCCCCGAAAGCUAUUUAGGUAGCGCCUCGUGAAUUCAUCUUCGGGGGUAGAGCACUGUUUCGGCUAGGGGGUCAUCCCGACUUACCAACCCGAUGCAAACUACGAAUACCGAAGAAUGUUAUCACGGGAGACACACGGCGGGUGCUAACGUCCGUCGUGAAGAGGGAAACAACCCAGACCGCCAGCUAAGGUCCCAAAGUCAUGGUUAAGUGGGAAACGAUGUGGGAAGGCACAGACAGCCAGGAUGUUGGCUUAGAAGCAGCCAUCAUUUAAAGAAAGCGUAAUAGCUCACUGGUCGAGUCGGCCUGCGCGGAAGAUGUAACGGGGCUAAACCAUGCACCGAAGCUGCGGCAGCGACACUAUGUGUUGUUGGGUAGGGGAGCGUUCUGUAAGCCUGCGAAGGUGACCUGUGAGGGUUGCUGGAGGUAUCAGAAGUGCGAAUGCUGACAUAAGUAACGAUAAAGCGGGUGAAAAGCCCGCUCGCCGGAAGACCAAGGGUUCCUGUCCAACGUUAAUCGGGGCAGGGUGAGUCGACCCCUAAGGCGAGGCCGAAAGGCGUAGUCGAUGGGAAACAGGUUAAUAUUCCUGUACUUGGUGUUACUGCGAAGGGGGGACGGAGAAGGCUAUGUUAGCCGGGCGACGGUUGUCCCGGUUUAAGCAUGUAGGCUGGUUGUCCAGGCAAAUCCGGAUAAUCAAGGCUGAGGUGUGAUGACGAGGCACUACGGUGCUGAAGUAACAAAUGCCCUGCUUCCAGGAAAAGCCUCUAAGCAUCAGGUAACAUCAAAUCGUACCCCAAACCGACACAGGUGGUCAGGUAGAGAAUACCAAGGCGCUUGAGAGAACUCGGGUGAAGGAACUAGGCAAAAUGGUGCCGUAACUUCGGGAGAAGGCACGCUGGUGUGUAGGUGAAGUCCCUGCGGAUGGAGCUGAGACCAGUCGAAGAUACCAGCUGGCUGCAACUGUUUAUUAAAAACACAGCACUGUGCAAACACGAAAGUGGACGUAUACGGUGUGACGCCUGCCCGGUGCCGGAAGGUUAAUUGAUGGGGUUAUCCGUAAGGAGAAGCUCUUGAUCGAAGCCCCGGUAAACGGCGGCCGUAACUAUAACGGUCCUAAGGUAGCGAAAUUCCUUGUCGGGUAAGUUCCGACCUGCACGAAUGGCGUAAUGAUGGCCAGGCUGUCUCCACCCGAGACUCAGUGAAAUUGAACUCGCUGUGAAGAUGCAGUGUACCCGCGGCAAGACGGAAAGACCCCGUGAACCUUUACUAUAGCUUGACACUGAACAUUGAGCCUUGAUGUGUAGGAUAGGUGGGAGGCUUUGAAGCGUGGACGCCAGUCUGCGUGGAGCCAACCUUGAAAUACCACCCUUUAAUGUUUGAUGUUCUAACGUUGGCCCCUUACCGGGGUUGCGGACAGUGUCUGGUGGGUAGUUUGACUGGGGCGGUCUCCUCCCAAAGCGUAACGGAGGAGCACGAAGGUUAGCUAAUCCUGGUCGGACAUCAGGAGGUUAGUGCAAUGGCAUAAGCUAGCUUGACUGCGAGCGUGACGGCGCGAGCAGGUGCGAAAGCAGGUCAUAGUGAUCCGGUGGUUCUGAAUGGAAGGGCCAUCGCUCAACGGAUAAAAGGUACUCCGGGGAUAACAGGCUGAUACCGCCCAAGAGUUCAUAUCGACGGCGGUGUUUGGCACCUCGAUGUCGGCUCAUCACAUCCUGGGGCUGAAGUAGGUCCCAAGGGUAUGGCUGUUCGCCAUUUAAAGUGGUACGCGAGCUGGGUUUAGAACGUCGUGAGACAGUUCGGUCCCUAUCUGCCGUGGGCGCUGGAGAAUUGAGGGGGGCUGCUCCUAGUACGAGAGGACCGGAGUGGACGCAUCACUGGUGUUCGGGUUGUCAUGCCAAUGGCACUGCCCGGUAGCUAAAUGCGGAAGAGAUAAGUGCUGAAAGCAUCUAAGCACGAAACUUGCCCCGAGAUGAGUUCUCCCUGAGACUUUAAGUCUCCUGAAGGAACGUU